Molecule: non-coding RNA, 79 nt
Organism: Streptococcus pseudoporcinus LQ 940-04
Lineage: Bacteria; Bacillati; Bacillota; Bacilli; Lactobacillales; Streptococcaceae
Source: Rfam
UGAGUGUUAUGAUGGUGGAACAUUCUUUAUUUCGUUCUUAGUCUAGCUCUGGUCUACCGCUAGGAAGUAUUCCUAGCGG